UACGUAGGGGGCAAGCGUUAUCCGGAUUUACUGGGUGUAAAGGGAGCGUAGACGGCAGCGCAAGUCUGGAGUGAAAUGCCGGGGCCCAACCCCGGAACUGCUCUGGAAACUGUGAAGCUGGAGUGCAGGAGAGGUAAGCGGAAUUCCUGGUGUAGCGGUGAAAUGCGUAGAGAUCAAGAGGAAUACUCAUUGCGAAGGCGACCUGCUAGAACAUAACUGACGCUGAUGCGCGAAAGCGUGGGGAGCAAACAGG
Molecule: ribosomal RNA, 253 nt
Filed under: uncultured Eubacteriales bacterium
Lineage: Bacteria; Bacillati; Bacillota; Clostridia; Eubacteriales
Description: uncultured Clostridiales bacterium partial 16S ribosomal RNA
Rfam family: Bacterial small subunit ribosomal RNA
Source: RNAcentral